UAUGUAAUUCUGCAACCUUCGUAUCAUGGUUGUGAAUAUUUCUUCUGAAAUAGGACAUUGAGAUAUAGGUGUAAGGUGAGGGAUUGCAAAUUGUUAAUUAAUAUUUCUUGUCUGCUAGCAUAGUGUUUGUCCUUGUCAAAUACCUACCUGAGUUAAGCUGUAUAUAAAACUAAAUCAAAUGCCUUUGAUCUCAGCUCACCCAAAAUGCCCUCAGAUGGAAGAAAAAAUUUUGCAGAAAUAACUAUGCACUUUUGAGGUGAUGCUGCUCAGCUGUGUAGAGGGACUGGCAAUGGCUCCAGCUGCAGGACUGACAUGUCACCCUCCACAGCCCACCACUCCAGCCUCCUUCCCUUUCCAGUUUCACCCACAGCACCAGCCCUUUCUUUCCCUCCUUGUAAAGUUGUUGCCUGUGACCUUUUAUUAGCCAUUUAGCUCCGCUCAGCUGUACAGCAUGAAGAAUGCAUAUUUUUCCUUCUGCUUAGUGUUGGUUUUAUCAGUAAAAUUUGGCUGUUGCUUGGUGUUCAAAGGGGUGAAGAGAUGAUGGGAGGGGGUGUAGCCCAGGCCAGCUGUGUGUAUACUGACUGCUCAUUUAAGUAAAGGUAAGAAAGGCAGCCUGGCUGCAAAAAGUAAAAUAUUACAGGCUAUAUCACAAGGUUUGCAUGUGAACAUGUGUACAAAAUGCUUCUUUCACAGGAUUCUGUAAACUUUGUCCUUUAGUGGCUGAUUCAAUCCUCUGUAAUGACAAAGUUGCCCCACUAUGAACUUGCCUGACUUUUCUUUCUUUUCAAAGAAUAGUAACAACAGAAACUAAAACAAAAGGCAGAAGAAAAUAUACUCCAGAGUGUGUUAAAAGAAUCUUUCUUGGAAAAUGAAAAGCCAUGGUACCACUGGGAUCGGCCAUUCUUGGAAAAUCAAAGCUGUUGUACCACUGGGAUCGGCCCUUCAAAACCUCUGAAAUUUUGCCACAGCCUCCACAUCUGCUACAGAAAUUCAUUUGAUACAGCGUUGCAUUCCCUUUAUGGUUAAUUCACACUUAUCCGGUGGGUGACCUCUGCGGCUCACAGACAGACAGGGCAGUAAGUGUGAAGUCACCUGAAUCCUGGAGCAGGAGAGCUAUGUUUGUUUCAUCUGGAUUCCCUAGUUCAGAGAGGUGCCAUAUGAAGCAUCAGCUUUUUAUCUCUCCCUGCCUGAUCUGAUCUUGUUGGUUGCUGUAAAAUAAGUGCUGCCCUGUUUAAGUUUUUGGUUGGUACUCUAUUCAUAGCCCUGGGUAAUGGAAACCUAAGUAAACCACAGACACCAGGCACCCGUGGAAACACCUGGUGAUAAUCCUUAUCGCAUUGCUGCUAUGCUUCCUAAUUUACUGCUUGUCUCAGAGACAUUAUUUCUCUGCUCUGUGCAAAUCUCCUUCAAUAAGUAUAUCUUCUUAUUUCUAGACAUUUGUUUACAAGGUAUGCAUGUAUUAAUGAAUACAAAUUGCUUCCUAAAUUGUUAACUACCUUAGGACACUUCGUAAUCUGAUGGAGUCCAGACUGUCUUUGAUAAGCGUACAGAUUCCUAGAAACUUGCUGGUCCAUGUUUUAAUAAUGAAUAUCAUCAUGUGACUUGACAAACAUCUACUUUUUGAAUAAAAUUAUUCUACCUUACAUAUAUAGAUUCAGGAGACCCCAGUGAUACCAUGGCUUUUCAUUUUCCAAGAAGGAUUCUUCUAACACGGUCACUGUUCCUGCUACAUGACACAAUCCCAGGAACACUCCUAGAAACCUAGGGAAUUGGAAGUUAUUCAAUCAACAUAUCAGUUUAUUGCUAAAGCAGUAUCAUAUUGCAGUGGAGAGAAUAUGAAAACCAAUAUACCAAUAGACCACAGUCUUUUAAUAACUACUGAGUGUUUUAAAACACAACAAUGUGCAAAGUCUUUGUGCAAAUUGAGUGCCAGGUUUCACUUUUGGACAUUGGAUGUUACUAUUUUGAUAGAUUUUAAAAGAUUCGGUCCAGUAAAUACAAAACUGACAUAUGUGCACCAGAACAGCAAAUUCUAAAAAUGCACAUGUUGCACAAAGAGCCCAGAAUAUUUAUUCUUCAAGUAUACUGUGUUUUGUAUGUUGACUGAUAGCUAUAUAGUUAGGAAUACUCAAAGAAUUACUUUGUAAUUACACUCUCACAGGAUGUCCUUUUGUUUUUCAGAGGAAUAUUCCCCAGUGUUUCUCUUUUCAUUCAGAUGCCUUGAGCACGAUCACAGGAAGAUAUAAUUUCCCCCUUACAUACAGGAAUAUGUAUCAUCAUAAGAUCCAUGCCAUGCUUUUACACUAACAAUUGUUCAGUAAUUUAUUUCUCUCUUGUUUCUCUCUUUCCAGUGGAAAUACGUGAUCCAAACCUGAGCAAACUGACUGCAGACAUUUUUGUUUACCUUAUAGGCUUUGAUUCAGAAUCUCUGAUACAAGAGAAUCCACCGUGCAGGAUGGGGGUGUAAUUCCAUCAAGGACUUCUGGUGACCUCAUAAACCAUGAGAGCUGGCAUGGACUUUAAUGGGCACCACGUGCUCAAGUUGCCAUGCAUCAUUUUGAAAAUGUAGGGCUUCAUUUGAUACUGCAGAAGGAUACCAGACCUACCAUGUCAAAUUGUUUCUCUUUCUUCUAAAGGAGCCACCCGCUUUAAGUUACAGUCAGUCCUCUUUGGUAGCAAAUGAAAUAUGCCAUUCUGGAAAAUUAUUAUUUUCUCUGGCAAAAUGAACUUGAAAAGUGUGUUUCAUAGAAAAGCACAUAUUUGGGUUAUAUUCUUUUAAAUAAACUUUCUAAAAUGAUGGCCAUAAAUUCAAGUAAAGGUGCGGUUUGUGCAGGAUUGGCUUUGCUUGCAGAUUUCUAAGUAAGAGACAUUUAAAAAAAUUAAUUCAUACAUCAGUUAGAAAAUAUAGGAAUAGAAUUGUUAUGAGUCAGUUGAAAAAAUGUAGACCAUGUUAAACCCAGUUUAAGUUUAAGUCAAGCUAGGUAAGUUUGCUCAAAUUGCUGAUGGCAAAUGACCUAAGUUAAAAUUUACUUGACCUAAAGUAAUUUAACUGUAUUUAGUACACCAAUUCUAGGAUUCUGUUGUUAGGAAUUUCCAGGGAGUUUCAAUCAGUGAAAUUUGUUCUAUCACCUUCGUACAAUGCUUGGAGAUUUUCUCCCACCUUCUCUCAACCUAGAUUUUGCCUGCUGAAACCUAUGUUCAGCCACUGUGCAAGCCUAUACAAAGUUGAUGGUUAUCAGCCUAAAAUGAGGUCUGUCAGUGUGGCUAUGAUUCAAGUAAAUGUGGCAAUAGACGCAUGACCUAAGUGUGUCAGCUUAGCUAAUCUAUUGUAUAUGCCAUCUGUCUUUAACAAGGAGAUGCUCUAAAAAUUGCUCAUCAUGAUGAUACCAGGAAAGGCUCUGUCCUUCUUAAUUCCGAGAUCACAGAGAAGAAGAAUAUAAAUGUUCUAGAAGAAUAUAUGCUGAGGAUAGCUUUCAGCUGCUGCGCUCUUAACUUAAGCCAAGUGCCUUGGAAGUGCAGUGAUUGUUCAGGAGCAACGAGGGACCUGCAGCACCUCCUCUGGGUACAGCAGAGGCAACUUCACCUGGCAUACUGGGAAUAGUUGGGCGGCUUUGACUUUCCCCCUCCAGCAUAUGUAGUUCCUGCAUCACUUUCGUCUGUGAAACAGAGUCAAGUACCAGCACGGCUACAAUCCAAAGAGCACAAGAUACUUCCAGGAGAAAUGAGUGAUACGUAUAAUGCUUUGUUCAAACAUCUGUACCAUUGUUGAUUUUAAUACAUUCUUGUCUUUAUGCCUAAAGAAUCAUGCCAGCAUGAAGUCCUUUUACUGAAUAAAGAAGCAUGCUACUCUGUUAGAGGAAAAUGCUAAUCCAAUCUGUCUAAUUUACAGCUUGGUUUAAUGGUCAGAUCACUACUGGAGAUCGUAAUAACAUGGAACCAUUCAGUAGAUUGGCCAGGAUUUGAAUGCUUACACUUAAACUCACUGAAUGGCAGGAUGUGAUUAGAAUUGGGUGCUAAGGAAAAUAUUCUCAAAGAUACAAGGAGACACACUGGCUUAUUUGAAAGGCACUGGAGAGCAGAAGUCCACGGACUCAUUCCCUUGGUUUGCCCUUUCCCAGCAUUUUAUCUUUAUUGAUAGCUGGGGAAUAAUGCAGAUGUAUGGUCUUUUGCUCUCAUCUGAUGAACCUCAUCUUGAUAAAUCUUUAAAUUAAGAGAUAGGAAUGUGCAGUGUCACUUUGCUAAAAGAUGGAAUGUAUAAAUUCAACACUUCACAGAUGAGGAAAGGGUUUCCCUUAGGCUUCCUGUACUUUGGGAGUGAUAUAAAUAUUGAACUAUAAAUAAAAUAUAAUGUUUCCUCUCACAGUAUGGAUUUUUAAGAAGAUGGCCUUGGUGCUGUGCCUUAUGAGGAGUUCAGUCUUGUGCCAGAUUAUGUUUAAGAAAGUAAUGCUAAGUUGAAGUGGCUUGGUAAGCUGUAAGUAAAGAGAUUCUGCAUGGCUCAGUCAUGUUAAGAUUUUGGUGUUCUACAUCAACAAAACUUCAGAAGUCUAAGGAUCUUUCAUGUUGAAGUUAUUAGUACCUUAGCUCUUCUGAAACCCUACUCCAUCAUCAUAGGCUACAUUCAAAAAAAGAUAGCGAAUUUCUUACAUGGAACUGAGCCAUGUGAAACCUAGAGAUUUUCUCUUCCUUAUUGCCAUCUAUCUCAAAUUGCCUAAGUUCAGCUGCCCUCUCACUAUAGACUUUAAUUUUUCCCUGUCCAAUAUUCUUGUUGUCUCUAUUGCUGCAUCUGCCUAUCUCUGAGGAAGUGGUCACUCAUCUUCUUCCAAAGCUUAAUCAGAAGUAUUAAACAAUAAAUUCUUUUUUGAUCUUGAUAGAGCUCAAGAAGCAUUUGCACGAUGGUCUCAGACACAUGGUGUGACUCUUAGGUGCGUUGUGUGCACAGUUAAGAGUUUGACUCAAUGAUCCUUCUGGGUUCCUUCAAACUCAUCAUAUUCUGUGAUUCUGUGAUCUCUUCCAAAAGGCUCAGUGUGGCAGGCAAGCAUGUAGGAAACUAUAACUUAGAGAGUAGUACUGUGGGGCAGCAUCCACAUACUAUAUUCACCUCACUUGAAGUGAUUUAUUGCCACCCACCACAUUAUGGAGUCAUCUGGAUGGAAAUACCUUUGUCUUGUCCUUGUUUUUCUCUUUUGAGCACAGUGAAAGCAGUUGUAAGCAAUGUUGUAAGCCUCACUAGAAUAAGGCUGUCAUUUGUCACACUUUUCCUCAUUAUAACUUCUUUUUCUACUGAAAAUACUGUGCAGAGCAACCCAGAAAUCCAAGAUGUGCAUUUUGCUUGUGCAUAUCAAAUCUUGCCCAUAUGCACAAAUUGUGUGCAAAUACCAUAAGUUUGAAGCUUCUUAGAGGCACGCUGCGACAGACAUACAUGUUUCUUGCAUGGAAAAGACAAGGCAGCAGCUUUAGGAACAUGUGAUAAAUGUGUGAACAUAUACAAAUGUAUUUGUCUAGAUUAAGCAAUGUUAUGUUCCAGGCUCAUGAUCUCACAUGCCUGAAGAUGUGAGUGACAUCAAAUCUCCAGAGAGAGAGAUAAAGGGCUUCUGUCAGCCUCUUGUUCCUUGGCCACUACUGGGUGAGCUCUACACACUGGAUCUUUUUGUCCCUUUCUAAAGCAUCCAGCUCUACACUCUUCUAGCCCUAGAUGGCCACCUGCAUUUUCAGAGUCAGAGAAUAAGGGAGAGCUGUAGCCUCUGGAGAGGAGUGGAACUAAGGAGUGGGUCUAAAAGACUGAGAAGAGUGUUGAGAGGAAUUGCCCAAGACACUCCUGUAGAACACUAACCACUGGAGAAGAGGGAUGGUCCACUGGGUGAUGAAAGGUCCAGACUGAGAGCUGGGAAAUCUACAGCAGCCAAAGGUAGUUCUUGAAAGUUUGGCUGCUUGCCUGUCUGCCUGAGGUUUAAGCCCCAGACCUGUCAAAUUCUGCAUACAGCUCUGUGCUGUUUUGUGAGUUGGGACUUGGAGUUUUGACUCAAUGCCAAGGCCUGUAUGCUCCUUACCUACUGAAAUAUUUGGGGUAUUGUCAGGCAUUAUAAACUUUUUCUUGAGGUGCAUUCAUACAGAGGUUUUCUUGCAUUCCAUACAAAAAUAUAAUUUUAAGAGGUGUUGUGAAAAAGAUCACUGGCUGAAAAUUUAAUUUCCUGCCCAAAUGGAUGACGCCUGCAAGGUAAAAUAAAUGCAUUUAAAGAAAUCGCCUAUCUAAAUCAGUCUCUUUCAAAAAGAGUUUACCUCUGUCAAUAAGGCAGAAUCUUGUGAAUUUACACACUUCAUAAUUUGCACAUAAAGUUGGCAGUUUUUCCCCACUUUUUUAGCAAUGAUUUAGUAGCUGUAGCAAGGGCUCAGAUUACUUGGAUUAUAUUAUAUUACACAAUAUACUGCAGCAUAUCUACAGAAGAACCUUAUUAAUCUGUAUUAAUAUGAACCUGCCCACUGUAGUUAACUGGGGUUUUUUGAGUAUUUUUGUUUGUUUGUUUUUUUGUUUUGUGGUUUUGUUUGGUUUUGUUUUUUUAAUGGCAGAGCAAGGAGAAUGUUUCAAUCCAGCAUCCUGAACAAGUAGUGACAUGGUGUGAUGGUGGAAGUGUGUAAGAUGGGAAGGGACCAGAUAUAAGAAAUCUUCCUUGUAGAUCCAGAUGAGGUCAUUUUCCUCCAUGCUAAUGGAUUAGGAGUCAGAGCAGUGUUCUGCUCCUGAUUAAGGAAUUGAUUUUACUGUUCCACUAAGUCAUACAUUUGCUGUGUCUUUCAUAGUUCUGCAACAAUCUGUGAAAUGGUGGCAAGGCUUUGAUGCUUUCAAUAUCCUUUGCUUUAAGUCUUGUGUACACUGUUGUAUAUGGCUGGAAUUGUGUACUUUGAGUUGGCAUUAUUUGCUUUUAAAAUGCAUUCUGUGAUUGCUUACACAGGAGUUUGGUUGGAAUCACUGAAAACUAGAGUGGUUUAAAAUAUCUUUGCAUAGGCUAUAAGAAGAAUGAGAUUUUGGUUCUUCUAUCUGAAUGACUGGAAUUUCAGGCCAAAACCAUUAUUCAGCUGUUGUUAAAAGCUGUUGACUUUAGCUAAAACAAGUUGGUUCAGCUAUGAAAAAUUUGUGUUCAUCUGGACAAUGAUUAAGAAUAGGAAAGAAUAGAACCUGCCCAUGUAUUUUAUGCCCUAAUUUUAAUGAGGACGUGAUAUUUAUUCCAUCUAAAAAGGUGUUUCUGGCUAAUGACAUGAUUAAAAAUUUGGCUUGACAUUAUCUGAGCUUGUGCAGCAAACAUGACCUUGCAUUUUAUAGGAUUUUAAAUAGGAUUAUUAUGAAGGAGAGAGCAACUAAUUAGAAGAUGGCAGGUUUCCAGUUUCCAUUUGAUGACCUGCAGUUGCUGCUGCUUGUUGCUGUCCCCAGAGUGAGCACAGCAAUACGAUCCUCCGCUUCGGGAUGUACAGAAUGUUCUGUGGUGUUCAAGUCAGGCGCUCUAUGGAAACUUAGCAGGAUCUUGCAUCCUCAGUGCUUUUCAUGCACUUGAGCUGGGGAAAUCUGCCAGAAAGCCAAACCAAACAUUUUUAUGUGUUUCCUCAGGCCCUACCUCCACAUCUUGUUGAAAAAUUAAAGCACACAAUCAUGGGUGUGUCUGUUGAAGCAAGCAGGCACUGUUAUUCCAGGUUUUCAAGGUUGUUUUUCAGGCUAUGGAUUCAGUCAAUUAAGGAAGAGCACGUCUGAAUUCUUUUCAGAGAUUUCUUAUGAAAAACCCUAGUUCAAAAACAUUUUCUGAAUUACUCUCAGUGACUGCAACAAGAAAUCAUGGAAGGUAGAGAUUCUUCUGGAAGCAUAAGUAUGCCAGAAAUUAAGCAGUAUAGUUUUAUUGAUGAAAUGGAGUUUCAGAUUAAAAGAUACAGUAGUACUCUCACUUCCCACUCCCUAUUUCACUCCCACUGUUUGAAUUCAUUAAAUACUCAGAACAAAGUCUUGUCAUAAUUUUUUUGUCAUUAUGGCUAGAUAGAAAUUUAAAUCCUACAAAUAAAGUGUUAGCUGUGGCAGCUUGGAGUUCAGUGCAGCUUAGCCACCUAAAUAUUUGCCCAAAUUUUCAGAUGAAGUUUUCAAUCCACACUUUGCUCUGUUAAGGCUAUAUGUUUAUCAUCAUGGGACAGCUAGUUGCAGCUUGUGCACACAUCCUCAAACAAGCUUUAAAUCAUACUUCUUGGCUGCCAUGUAGACAUGUCUUUAACCUCUGCAUAGCAAUGCCAAACAGUAAGCUAUUUUUUCUGAUGCAAUUUCAUUGCAUUCUUUCUGAAUCCUCAUCUUUGAUCUAGGAAGAACAUCCUGGCUGAAUAGGAAGUUAGUUCAAGCUAUAUAUUUAGUUCAUGUUAUAAAAAUUAAUCUUAAACAUUUCAAGACGUAAAUACCUAAGACCAAUUAAAGGGAUUUAUUUCCAUGCUCUUUUGAGAGAUUAAACAGUAGAUGCCAAUUGUGCCAAAAUGCUUUUCUAGUACAAACUAUCCAGAAGCCAAAAAUUACAGGACAUCUUCAUACAGAGUCAUUGCCAAGUGCAAGCAUUCUAAAUAAAGCUGUAGCAUGAUUGGGUUGCAUGCACCUUUUAAUCUGAGGACACAUUUGCAGAAUUUCCUGGCUAAAAGCCCUGAGCUACAUAGUUCUGCAUGGAACGAAUGUCUGAAAUUGCUGGGAUUUGGAAUCCUAUUACUUUUGGGGUGAGACAGACAGAGGGGUGGAUUUUAUUUCUUUUGUACCAAAGCCCCUCUUGAACCUAAAUACUACACAGUUCUGAAAUGUUUAUGAUAAAUUAUAAUAAAUUAGUCUUUGCACUCUUGUAUACUGUGACUUACUGAUUUUGACUUGCUCUGAGUCAUGGAUAUCCCUAAAGGAUCAAAACUGCAAUUCGCUUGCAUGCUAUUAAAUCAAGAAGGGUCUCAUAAUUACAUAUAAAUACAUAUAAAAACAUAAAAAUUUGAACUGGAGGCAGUGAGAGAGCGGAAUAAAAUUGUUUGGUUUUAUUUCUGCAUGAGUAGGAGGAGAGAUGGUCCAAACUUGGUUUACAAGGCAGUCUCCCUAAAAUAUGCUUUAUACUAUGGGCUGAGCUCUGCCCAUAUGAAUACUUUAGAACCCUCAGUUUGCAACUACCUAGAGGCUCCUGGAACUAUUAAAGUCUCAUUUUGUUCCUUCAAAGUGGAAAAAGGAGCCUGGCCCAAAUUAAGCAAGGAGUGCUGCUCCCAAGACAUACCAAGCUUUAUGGGACUUCAAGCAUAGUAUUUCAAACUCUUAAUUCAGAAGUAUAGGGGAAAGCAAUUGCCACUAUAUUAUGCCUCUUUUUCUAAACAAUUCAGUAUGUUUUCUUUUUGCAUAAAUGUGAUGCAGCUGGUUCUAGUACCAUAUUUACAGUAAAUAUCCUUUUUGGUAGACUAAGGGCUUAUUGAGGCAGUGCAGUAAUAAUGUGUUAAAGGAUUUAAUCCGCUUUUUGAACAGUUACUAAGCAUAUUUUUUUUUUAAUGAAUGAUCUGAGCAUGUUGGACAAAACUUAGAUCAGAAGAUCAGAAAUAAGCCAAUGUUUACGUUUUUGAUUCACUGCAUAUGAAGGAAUUGUGGGUUUUGAAGGAAUCCUGACUUUGCUUGAAUUUAGUGAAGUAAGAUCUAAAGGGUCUUCUGUGAUGAAUUGCUUAGGAGUUCAAAUGAAAAUAUGGAACUUUCAGACAGAACCUAUUGCUUAAAUUUAAUGAAUUAAUUAGACACAGAAAAAUGUUAAAAUGAAUGGAACGAGAAAGUUUCUUCCCUGCUUUAACAAUGUUAAGAAAAUGGACUUGUGUUAUGGUUUGUAUCAUUGAUGCAAUCUGUUUUAAACAUCAUUGUAUCCUGGUUGAUCUUUUUGUAUUAAACAAUAUUCUUCAGUAGA
Molecule: long non-coding RNA, 9917 nt
Organism: Parus major (Great Tit)
Lineage: Eukaryota; Metazoa; Chordata; Aves; Passeriformes; Paridae
Exons: 5
Source: RefSeq, a predicted model, not a curated record